Molecule: ribosomal RNA, 251 nt
Filed under: uncultured bacterium
Lineage: Bacteria
Description: partial 16S ribosomal RNA
Rfam family: Bacterial small subunit ribosomal RNA
Source: RNAcentral
ACAGAGGGGAAACUAGAAUUCCAGGUGUGGGGGUGGAAUCUGUAGAUAUCUGGAAGAAUACCGGUGGCGAAGGCGGGUUUCUAGCUGAUGAUUGACGCUGAUGUGCGAAAGUGCGGGGAGCAAACAGGAUUAAAUACCCUGGUAGUCCGCACCGUAAACUAUGUACACUAGGUGUAGGGGCAUGAGUCUCUGUGCCAAAGCUAACGCAAUAAGUGUACCGCCUGGGAAGUAUGCUCGCAAGGGUGAAACUC